This 974-nucleotide ribosomal RNA is filed under the name Vibrio sp. RNAcentral's name for it is "bacterial SSU rRNA". It matches the Rfam family "Bacterial small subunit ribosomal RNA", at positions 85 to 1055 of the family's 1533-position model. The record is from RNAcentral. Lineage: Bacteria; Pseudomonadati; Pseudomonadota; Gammaproteobacteria; Vibrionales; Vibrionaceae.
ACGGCGUCGAGCGGCGGACGGGUGAGUAAUGCCUAGGAAAUUGCCCUGAUGUGGGGGAUAACCAUUGGAAACGAUGGCUAAUACCGCAUGAUGCCUACGGGCCAAAGAGGGGGACCUUCGGGCCUCUCGCGUCAGGAUAUGCCUAGGUGGGAUUAGCUAGUUGGUGAGGUAAGGGCUCACCAAGGCGACGAUCCCUAGCUGGUCUGAGAGGAUGAUCAGCCACACUGGAACUGAGACACGGUCCAGACUCCUACGGGAGGCAGCAGUGGGGAAUAUUGCACAAUGGGCGCAAGCCUGAUGCAGCCAUGCCGCGUGUGUGAAGAAGGCCUUCGGGUUGUAAAGCACUUUCAGUCGUGAGGAAGGUAGUGUAGUUAAUAGCUGCAUUAUUUGACGUUAGCGACAGAAGAAGCACCGGCUAACUCCGUGCCAGCAGCCGCGGUAAUACGGAGGGUGCGAGCGUUAAUCGGAAUUACUGGGCGUAAAGCGCAUGCAGGUGGUUUGUUAAGUCAGAUGUGAAAGCCCGGGGCUCAACCUCGGAAUUGCAUUUGAAACUGGCAGACUAGAGUACUGUAGAGGGGGGUAGAAUUUCAGGUGUAGCGGUGAAAUGCGUAGAGAUCUGAAGGAAUACCGGUGGCGAAGGCGGCCCCCUGGACAGAUACUGACACUCAGAUGCGAAAGCGUGGGGAGCAAACAGGAUUAGAUACCCUGGUAGUCCACGCCGUAAACGAUGUCUACUUGGAGGUUGUGGCCUUGAGCCGUGGCUUUCGGAGCUAACGCGUUAAGUAGACCGCCUGGGGAGUACGGUCGCAAGAUUAAAACUCAAAUGAAUUGACGGGGGCCCGCACAAGCGGUGGAGCAUGUGGUUUAAUUCGAUGCAACGCGAAGAACCUUACCUACUCUUGACAUCCAGAGAACUUUCCAGAGAUGGAUUGGUGCCUUCGGGAACUCUGAGACAGGUGCUGCAUGGCUGUCGU